AUGUCCUACUCCUACUCCAUGUUCUCGCACAACCCCAGCUGCUCCCUCACGCACAACUCCACCGACAUCUACGCCGCCGGGGAGGGCACCAACGGCUCCGUGCACAGCCGAUUCAAUUUCCGCCCCAUGGGGGACGGCAGCGUCGCCUUCGCCACGCCGCCGAUGAAGGAGGGCACCUCCGCCUUCUUCCCCACCGAGCUCCCCGCCAAGAUGGCGGCGGGCAGCGCCGGUGGCAGCUUCGACGGCGGCCGCGGCGCGCAUACGUCGCGGCCUGAUAGGAUCCUGCGGGACAUCGUGUCUGACUCCGUGUCGGCCAUGGCGCAUGUGCUGCAGGAGUUCCCCAGCGAGUCCCUGGAGGUGCUGCGGGCGGCGGUGCGGAGCAUGGUCGACGCUCCGGAGAAGAGGGACGACCUGGCCAGCCUGCAGCGGAGGCUGGAGCGCCGGUCGGACCUGACGGCCGAGGCACUGGCGCGGGCCAACAGGACGCAGUUGGAGAUCCUGGUGGCCAUCAAGACUGGUUCGGCCGCGUUCGUCACCGGCAAGGGCCGCGUACCGAGCAGCGAGCUCGUGGAGAUGUUCCUCAUGACACGGUGCCGCAACCUCAACUGCAAGAGCAUGCUGCCUGUGGACGAUUGCGAGUGUAAGAUUUGCUCCAGCAACAAAGGGUUCUGUGGAGCAUGUAUGUGCCCGGUGUGCCACAAGUUCGACUGUGCUGCAAAUACCUGCAGCUGGGUCGGUUGUGAUGUUUGCGGCCAUUGGUGCCAUGCCGCAUGCGGUCUGGAGAGGAACUUGAUCAGACCAGGCCCGACGCUGAAGGGGCCGAUAGGGACGACUGAGAUGCAGUUCCAGUGUCUUGGUUGCAGCCAUUCUUCUGAGAUGUUUGGAUUUGUUAAGGAGGUGUUCAACUGUUGCGCAGAGAACUGGAAUGCUGAGACGCUGAUGAAAGAGCUAGAUGUUGUCAGGAAAAUAUUUGCUGCUAGUGAUGAUUUUGAGGGGAAGGGGCUUCAUGCCAAGGCUGAAGAGGUCCUCAGCAUGCUUUCAAAGAAAGUUAUCUCCCUGCCGGAUGCAUUGAACAACAUGCUGCAAUUCUUCAAAUAUGGCGUUACCGACUGCUCUGUUACUGGCAGCAAGUCCAAAGGCAUAUUGGCAGCAAAUCAGGCGAGCCAAUCUACGAUUCCCCUUCUAUCUCCGACCAUCAGUCCACCCAAAUCCUUCAAUUUCAAUGCCAGCACCUCCAUUCUCGACUCACAGAUUGAUGCGCUCAAGACCAGCCCAAAGUCCCUCUCUAUUGAACCCCGUUUUGGCUCCAGCUCAAACCCGCUCGCAAUUGAACCCCGUUUUGGCGCCAGCUCGAAGCCGCUGUCCGUCGAUUCCCGUUUCGGCGCCAGCCCGAAGCCGCUGUCCGUUGAUUCCCGUUUCGGCGCCAGCCCAAAGCCGCUGUCCAUUGAUUCCCAUUUCAGUGCCAGCCCGAAGCCGCUCUCUAUCGAGCCUCAUUUCAGCACCACCUCAAAGGACGAUGAAGCCUCCACCCUCGAGACCGUCGUCAAGUGCAAGGAAGCCGAAGCAAAACUGUUCCAGAAGCUGGCUGACGAUGCCCGGAAGGAGGUGGAGAACUACCGGCAGAUGGUCCGCAACAGAAUCCAGAGCAUGGAGGAGGAGUACGCGUCGAAGGUGGCGAAGCUGUGCUUCCAGGAGGCGGAGGAGAAGAGGAGGAAGAAGAUGGAGGAGCUCAAGACGCUGGAGAACUCGCACUACGACUACCACAAGAUGAAGCUGCGGAUGCAGACCGAGAUCCAGGGCCUGCUCGAGCGGAUGGAGGCCACAAAGAAGAUGUGGGUGUAG
This 1842-nucleotide ribosomal RNA is filed under the name Triticum aestivum (bread wheat). Its description in RNAcentral is "partial small subunit ribosomal RNA". The record is from RNAcentral. Lineage: Eukaryota; Viridiplantae; Streptophyta; Magnoliopsida; Poales; Poaceae.